This 447-nucleotide ribosomal RNA is filed under the name uncultured bacterium. RNAcentral describes it as "bacterial SSU rRNA". It matches the Rfam family "Bacterial small subunit ribosomal RNA", at positions 355 to 825 of the family's 1533-position model. The record is from RNAcentral.
UGGGGAAUAUUGGACAAUGGGGGAAACCCUGAUCCAGCCAUGCCGCGUGCGUGAAGAAGGCCUUAGGGUUGUAAAGCGCUUUCGGCGGGGAAGAUGAUGACGGUACCCGCAGAAGAAGCCCCGGCUAACUCCGUGCCAGCAGCCGCGGUAAUACGGAGGGGGCUAGCGUUGUUCGGAAUUACUGGGCGUAAAGGGCGCGUAGGCGGGCGAUCAAGUCAGAGGUGAAAGGCCUGGGCUCAACCUGGGAAUUGCCUUUGAAACUGAUUGUCUAGAGUCCGGAAGAGGAUGGCGGAAUUCCCAGUGUAGAGGUGAAAUUCGUAGAUAUUGGGAAGAACACCAGUGGCGAAGGCGGCCAUCUGGUCCGGUACUGACGCUGAGGCGCGAAAGCGUGGGGAGCAAACAGGAUUAGAUACCCAGGUAGUCCCUGAGCGGGCUGGCAAGGCGCAU